GUGUCUGUGUUCUCUUCAUAAGUCCCACUCUUCUGUCCUCUCUACCUAUUCAAUCAUGGCUUUUGUAUCAAUUUUGUUGCAAGCAAUGGGAAAAUUGCAGUGCAUCUUCGACAAAUAUGCUGGAGUCGAUGGAGACAAGUCUACAAUGACCAAGAAAGAACUCGCUGAGUUGUUGCGCAACGAGCUUGGAGAGGUGGACCCAAAACAAGUUGAAAAUAUCCUUGCAGAGCUGGAUAAGGACAAUAGUGGCACUGUUAGUUUCGCAGAGUUCACCGUGAUUGCAGUACAAUUGUUCAAGGACAUUUCCGAUUGUCUUCAAGAAUAAAAGUACAUGUCAUAAUCAUGUGUUCUGGGGAAACAGAUAAAUCAUAGAUGGGUUUGCUUAAAGAACCUCAAAGGUGUGUCUUUGAAGAUAAAUCAUUGAUUUUGAAUAUCAGAUGUUAACUAACACAAAUAAAUGUUGUCACAUUUUAUAA
Molecule: long non-coding RNA, 476 nt
Organism: Eleginops maclovinus (Patagonian blennie)
Lineage: Eukaryota; Metazoa; Chordata; Actinopteri; Perciformes; Eleginopidae
Exons: 3
Source: RefSeq, a predicted model, not a curated record